RNAcentral lists this ribosomal RNA (433 nucleotides) under uncultured bacterium. Its description in RNAcentral is "partial 16S ribosomal RNA". It matches the Rfam family "Bacterial small subunit ribosomal RNA", at positions 29 to 507 of the family's 1533-position model. The record is from RNAcentral.
AACGAACGCUGGCGGCAUGCCUAACACACGCAAGUCGAACGAGACCUUCGGGUCUAGUGGCGCACGUGUGCGUAACGCGUGGGAACCUGCCCUUAGGUUCGGAAUAACUCCCCGAAAGGGGUGCUAAUACCGGAUAAUGUCUUCGGACCAAAGAUUUAUCGCCUUUGGAUGGGCCCGCGUUGGAUUAGCCAGUUGGUAGGGUAAAAGCCUACCAAGGCGACGUUCCAUAGCUGGUCUGAGAGGAUGAUCUUCCACGCUGGGACUGAGACACGGCCCAGACUCGUACGGGAGGCAGCAGUAGGGAAUAUUGGACGAUGGGCGAAAGCCUGAUCCAGUAAUGCCGCGUGAGUGAUGAAGGGGUUAGGGUUGUAAAGCUCUUUUAGCCGGGAUGAUAAUGACAGUACCGGGAGAAUAAGCUCCGGCUAACUCCGUG